RNAcentral lists this ribosomal RNA (494 nucleotides) under uncultured bacterium. RNAcentral's name for it is "bacterial SSU rRNA". It matches the Rfam family "Bacterial small subunit ribosomal RNA", at positions 36 to 524 of the family's 1533-position model. The record is from RNAcentral.
UACCUGGCGGCUGCCUUACCAUGCAAGUCGAACGGCAGCACGGGGGCAACCCUGGUGGCGAGUGGCGAACGGGUGAGUAACAUAUCGGAACGUGCCCUGGAGUGGGGGAUAACUAGUCGAAAGAUUAGCUAAUACCGCAUACGAUCUACGGAUGAAAGUGGGGGAUCGCAAGACCUCAUGCUCGUGGAGCGGCCGAUAUCUGAUUAGCUAGUUGGUGGGGUAAAGGCCUACCAAGGCAUCGAUCAGUAGCUGGUCUGAGAGGACGACCAGCCACACUGGGACUGAGACACGGCCCAGACUCCUACGGGAGGCAGCAGUGGGGAAUUUUGGACAAUGGGGGCAACCCUGAUCCAGCAAUGCCGCGUGAGUGAAGAAGGCCUUCGGGUUGUAAAGCUCUUUUGUCAGGGAAGAAACGGCGGAGCCUAAUAUGUUCUGCUAAUGACGGUACCUGAAGAAUAAGCACCGGCUAACUACGUGCCAGCAGCCGCGGUAAU